Molecule: long non-coding RNA, 1697 nt
Filed under: Equus caballus (horse)
Lineage: Eukaryota; Metazoa; Chordata; Mammalia; Perissodactyla; Equidae
Description: lncRNA (ENSECAG00000050488.1)
Source: RNAcentral
AAAGAAGUAUGCAUGCGUUGAUAAAUUAGUAUUAUACAAAGAAAAAAUACUCUUCACACAAACCCUAGGGAGCUAUUAGAGCAGGGAAAGUUUAAGAAGAUAAGGUUUUCUUUGAAGGUGUAAGUUUUAAAAUGAGUUUAAAAACCAAGGAGCUACAUGGAGUGAGAGUGUCCUGACUGGGUAGAGAUGCAGAGCUGGAAGGGGACCACAUACACGGGGACCUACAGGAGGCGGAGCGUCAUGGGCUUGUCUCGGAUGGCAGAAGGAGGCUAACAUUGAAGAUAGAGGCCAUGUCUGCUGUCCUCCUCCAAGAAGGCUGCCUCCCGCCACUUCCCAGAAGCCUCGAACCAAAAGACAAGAGGAAGAAUUCAUACAGGACAGUGAACACCAUGGAACCCGUCUUAGUCUGUUCAGGCCGCUAUAACAGAAUAUCAUAGACUGAGUGGUUUAUAAACAACAGAAAUUUAUUUCUCACAGUUCCGGAGUCUGGGAAGUUCCAGAUCAAGGUCCAGCAGAUUUAGUGUCCAGUGAGAUGCCCCCCUCUGGUUCAUACACGGCUGUCUUCUCACUAUAACCUCACACCAUGGGGGCUCUUUUACAAGGGUGCUAAUCCCAUUCGUGAGGACUCCGCCCUCACCAUCUGAUCACCUCCCAAAAGUUCCACCUCCUAAUCCUAUCACUUUGGGGAUUAGGAUUUCAACAUAUGAUUUUUGGGGAGGCACAAACAUUCAGUCUACAGCAGAAUUCCAGCUAAGUCAACAAGAAGGCAACCCCUGAAGAUUCUUCUGCAACCCUGAGAUCAAAUAGGACCCAAACAGAGGUCACGAUUUCCUCUGAAGCUAUGCUCACAGGAAAUGAAAGACCAAGGAGGGGGUCGGCAGACAGACAGACACGAGGAAUCGCACUCAAUGAACCAUACACACUGGAGCAAUCUGAAAGGAACUUUAAAGAUUUCAAAUGCCAAAGAGAUAGAGGGAGGAAAAGAAUCUAAUAUGGCAAGAACAGAACAUUUUGAGGAAAAAACAAGCAGAUUUGAGAGGGAGUCAAAUGGAGUGGAUUGAAUUAUAACAUAUUGACUUGACCUGAAUUAAACACCAAACAGACCAAUUAUUAACUAAGCUUGGUUGUAAAUAUUGCCUAAGAAUAGGAAAAAAGUGAAGGAAAUAAAUACGAAUUUGCCAAUUAAAGAAUGUUUCAUUAUUCUAGAGUUAUUUAGAAAAAUUAUUUUUAAAAAUCAUUCUAAACUUUCUCUCUCAACAUCUACAGUUAUUUGUUUUACAGCGAUUUAUAUUGGGAGAAAAAGGCCAUGAUUUUACCCGCGUAAACACAUAGGUCCAGUGGUUUGAAUCGGGGAUCGUGGCUCCACGCUUACAAAGAGGACCCGAGUGGAAACAGGCAGCUUGGCAGACAGCAUAAGGUGACGCCGAUGCUGUUUGGUGAACCACAUUUUGAACAGCAAGGCCCUAAAGCUUCUUUCAACCAACCAUGCCCAGCUUAAAGGAGGCACUCAUUUAUUGAGUUAUGGAGAAAAGAAGAGAGAAAGAGGAGGAGGGAUGGUUGUGGAGGAAAGGAGAUGGAAGAGCAUUAUGAACACAACACCCAGGACUGCAAACUAACAUGAGCCAUAAUUGAAGGGCCAGAUUUCUUGAAAAACGCCUGUUACAUAGGCAAGAUGAGGCACCUGGUUCUAACAGGCA